UUGUUAGGUGACUGCGUACCUUUUGUAUAAUGGGUCAGCGACUUAUAUUCAGUGGCGAGCUUAACCGAAUAGGGGAGGCGUAGCGAAAGCGAGUCUUAAUAGGGCGCUUAGUCGCUGGGUAUAGACCCGAAACCGGGCGAUCUAUCCAUGGGCAGGUUGAAGGUUAGGUAACACUGACUGGAGGACCGAACCGACUACCGUUGAAAAGUUAGCGGAUGACCUGUGGAUCGGAGUGAAAGGCUAAUCAAGCUCGGAGAUAGCUGGUUCUCCUCGAAAGCUAUUUAGGUAGCGCCUCAUGUAUCACUCCAGGGGGUAGAGCACUGUUUCGGCUAGGGGGUCAUCCCGACUUACCAAACCGAUGCAAACUCCGAAUACCUGGAAGUGCCGAGCAUGGGAGACACACGGCGGGUGCUAACGUCCGUCGUGAAAAGGGAAACAACCCAGACCGUCAGCUAAGGUCCCAAAGUCAUGGUUAAGUGGGAAACGAUGUGGGAAGGCUUAGACAGCUAGGAGGUUGGCUUAGAAGCAGCCACCCUUUAAAGAAAGCGUAAUAGCUCACUAGUCGAGUCGGCCUGCGCGGAAGAUGUAACGGGGCUCAAACCAUGCACCGAAGCUACGGGUAUCAC
This 626-nucleotide ribosomal RNA is filed under the name Pseudomonas sp. BJa5. RNAcentral describes it as "partial 23S ribosomal RNA". It matches the Rfam family "Bacterial large subunit ribosomal RNA", at positions 586 to 1212 of the family's 2925-position model. Lineage: Bacteria; Pseudomonadati; Pseudomonadota; Gammaproteobacteria; Pseudomonadales; Pseudomonadaceae. The record is from RNAcentral.